Molecule: ribosomal RNA, 466 nt
Filed under: uncultured bacterium
Lineage: Bacteria
Description: partial 16S ribosomal RNA
Rfam family: Bacterial small subunit ribosomal RNA
Source: RNAcentral
GAUGAACGCUGGCGGCGUGCUUAACACAUGCAAGUCGAACGGAAAGGCCGAAGCUUGCUUCGGUACUCGAGUGGCGAACGGGUGAGUAACACGUGGGUGAUCUGCCCUGUACUUCGGGAUAAGCUUGGGAAACUGGGUCUAAUACCGGAUAUGACAAUCUCUUGGAUGGGGUUGUGGAAAGCUUUUGCGGUAUGGGAUGAGCUCGCGGCCUAUCAGCUUGUUGGUGGGGUAAUGGCCUACCAAGGCGUCGACGGGUAGCCGACCUGAGAGGGUGUACGGCCACAUUGGGACUGAGAUACGGCCCAGACUCCUACGGGAGGCAGCAGUGGGGAAUAUUGCACAAUGGGCGCAAGCCUGAUGCAGCGACGCCGCGUGGGGGAUGACGGCCUUCGGGUUGUAAACUCCUUUCGCAACCGACGAAGCUUUUGUGACGGUAGGUUGAGAAGAAGCACCGGCUAACUACGUG